This is a long non-coding RNA of Bubalus bubalis (water buffalo), 1609 nucleotides long. RefSeq lists it as uncharacterized. The transcript has 3 exons. Lineage: Eukaryota; Metazoa; Chordata; Mammalia; Artiodactyla; Bovidae. The record is from RefSeq and is a predicted model, not a curated record.
UCCAAUGAAUCAACUCUUUAGGGAAAUUCUGAAAGCAAACAAAAAACUAAAAAAAAAAACCAACAACAAAAAACCCAGAACUUUGAGAUAUAUUUAAUAUUUUUCUGGAAUUACUGUUUCUUCUUUGAGCAUUUGAACUAACUCAUACUUUAUGAUAAGGUGACUAGUAUGGGAAGCAUCUACAAGAAGGUUUGGUGUUAAGGCAAGUUAACCUCAGAUUUAAAAUCGUCCCUGGGAACUCUGGGAGUGAUAGUUAGUGUACUGCAGUUAAUGCAACACAGCUGGAUGUGGUUGCAUUGCUCCUUGGAUUUUAUUAUUUUUUAUCCAAGUGUAGUUGAUUUGCAGUAGUCUGUUAGUUUCAGGUGUACAGCAUAAUGAUUCAGUAUUUUGUAGAUUAUGUUCCAUUAUAGGUUAUUUCAAUAUAAUGGGCAUAAUUUCCUAUGCUAUACAGUGUAUCCAUGUGGCUUAUCUAUUUUAUGUAUAAUAGUCUGCAUGUGUUAAUUUCAUACCUCUAAUUUGUCCCUCCCCACUUCUUCUCCUCUUUAGUAACUACAAGUUGUUUUUUUUCUACAUCUGUAAAUCUGCUUCUGUUUUGCAUAUACAUUCAUUUUUAUUAUUUUUUAGAUUCUGCAUAUAUGUGAUAUCAUACAGUAUUUGUCUUUUCUCUGUCUGACUUCUGUCAUGAGGCAUAAUAUUCUCCAGGUCCAUCCACAUUGCUGCAAAUGGCAGUAUUUCAUUCUUUUCUAAGGCUACUAUUCCAUUGUAUAUGUAUUACCACAUCUUAAUCCGGUAAUCUGUUGAUGAGCACUUGUUUGUUUCCAUAUCUUGUUACUUGUAAAUCAUGCUGCUGUGAACAUUGGGGUGCAUAUAUCUUUUCAAUUUAGUGUUUGUUUUUACUGAAUAAAUGCACAGGAGCGGGAUUGCUGGAUCAUAUGGUAAUACUGUUUUUAGUUUUUUAAGGAGCCUCCAUACUGUUUUCCCAUAGUGGCGGCACCAAAUUAUAUUCUCACCAACAGUUUAUAAGGCUUCCAUAACCUGGAUUUUAAUUGGAACUUGGCUUCCAACUGGCUUUGUUGCCCUGGCUUUAUUUUUCACCUCUUCGCACCUUGGUUGUUGAGAUCAUUGAGAACAGGUGCCGGAGAGAGGAAAGCUCGUGAAAAGUAGCUUGUAGUUAAGAGGAAUCUUGGGAUUUGGCUACUGAAGGUAGAAAAAUCACUUUAUGAGAGUGCUGAGAGCGAUGUGAAAACAGAAAUGGUAACAAGAGGCAGUGGCCAGGCUGCCGGGAAACAAAAAAAGCCAGUGAACAUUUAAGUUACCGCUUGUGCUUCACUCAUGAAGAAAAAACGUCUCGGACAGUGAUUAGAAAAGUGCUAAUGCUGGUGGGUGAUCUGCGGAGGCUGUGCCUGGGCGAGUUCGGGGCGAUUCUCUGACUGAGAAGUCAAAAGUCACGAAGGACAGGAGUGACUGGAGAAUUGUCAUAUUUUGGAGGAAACUGAUAAAGCUGAGCGCCGAAGAAUUGAUGCUUUUGAACUGUGGUGUUGGAGAAGACUCUUGAGAGUUCCUUGGACUGCAAGGAGAUCCAAUCAGUCCAUCCUGAAGGAGAUCAGUC